CAAAACGACUCUCGGCAACAGAUAUCUCGGCUCUCGCAUCGAUGAAGAACGUAGCGAAAUGCGAUACGUGGUGUGAAUUGCAGAAUCCCGUGAACCAUCGAGUUUUUGAACGCAAGUUGCGCCCGAAGCCUUCUGGUUGAGGGCACGUCUGCCUGGG
Molecule: ribosomal RNA, 157 nt
Filed under: Garcinia ovalifolia
Lineage: Eukaryota; Viridiplantae; Streptophyta; Magnoliopsida; Malpighiales; Clusiaceae
Description: 5.8S ribosomal RNA
Rfam family: 5.8S ribosomal RNA
About the family: 5.8S ribosomal RNA (5.8S rRNA) is a component of the large subunit of the eukaryotic ribosome.
Source: RNAcentral